Molecule: ribosomal RNA, 406 nt
Filed under: uncultured bacterium
Lineage: Bacteria
Description: partial 16S ribosomal RNA
Rfam family: Bacterial small subunit ribosomal RNA
Source: RNAcentral
AUUGAACGCUGGCGGCAGGCCUAACACAUGCAAGUCGAACGAGUGGCGGACGGGUGAGUAAUGUCUGGGAAACUGCCUUAUGGAGGGGGAUAACUACUGGAAACGGUAGUUAAUACCGCAUACCAUCGGAUGUGCCCAGAUGGGAUUAGCUAGUAGGUGGGGUAACGGCUCACCUAGGCGACGAUCCCUAGCUGGUCUGAGAGGAUGACCAGCCAAGCGGGAACGGAGACACGGGCCAGACUCCUACGGGAGGAGGCAGUGGGGAAUAUUGCACAAUGGGCGCAAGCGUGAUGAGGCCAUGCCGCGUGUAUGAAGAAGGCCUUCGGGUUGUAAAGUACUUUAAGCGGGGAGGCGUUACCCGAAGAAGAAGCACCGGCUAACUCCGUGCCAGCAGCCGCGGUAAUUC